RNAcentral lists this non-coding RNA (24 nucleotides) under Arabidopsis thaliana (thale cress). The record is from RNAcentral. Lineage: Eukaryota; Viridiplantae; Streptophyta; Magnoliopsida; Brassicales; Brassicaceae.
GCAACCACCACGAUCACAAAUGCA